CUACUAGGUCAGGCUAUCGCUUUUAUUUAGGUAAGGGAGGAAAGUCCGGACAGCACAGAGCAGCGCACCACCUAACGGGUGGGGUUUCGGAAACGAAAUACAGAAAGUGCCACAGAAAAUAACCGCCUCUUUUGUGGGGUAAGGGUGAAAAUGUAGGGUAAGAGCCUACGCGCUACUAUGGCAACAUAGUAAUGGGGUAAACCUUGCGUGCUGAAAUGCCAAAUAGGCGAAUGCUUGAGAGCGGCUCGCUCGAUGUUCGUGGGUUGGCAGCUAGAGGUACUACGCGAGUAGUAUCCCAGAUAAAUGAUAGCCGGUCUCAGGGCCAUAUGAGACUAACAGAAUCCGGCUUAUUGACCUUAUUAGUUGU
Molecule: RNase P RNA, 367 nt
Filed under: Nematostella vectensis (starlet sea anemone)
Lineage: Eukaryota; Metazoa; Cnidaria; Anthozoa; Actiniaria; Edwardsiidae
Description: Bacterial RNase P class A
Rfam family: Bacterial RNase P class A
About the family: Ribonuclease P (RNase P) is a ubiquitous endoribonuclease, found in archaea, bacteria and eukarya as well as chloroplasts and mitochondria.
Source: Rfam by way of RNAcentral